RNAcentral lists this ribosomal RNA (466 nucleotides) under Shigella flexneri. RNAcentral describes it as "partial 23S ribosomal RNA". It matches the Rfam family "Bacterial large subunit ribosomal RNA", at positions 2463 to 2925 of the family's 2925-position model. The record is from RNAcentral. Lineage: Bacteria; Pseudomonadati; Pseudomonadota; Gammaproteobacteria; Enterobacterales; Enterobacteriaceae.
GUACUCCGGGGAUAACAGGCUGAUACCGCCCAAGAGUUCAUAUCGACGGCGGUGUUUGGCACCUCGAUGUCGGCUCAUCACAUCCUGGGGCUGAAGUAGGUCCCAAGGGUAUGGCUGUUCGCCAUUUAAAGUGGUACGCGAGCUGGGUUUAGAACGUCGUGAGACAGUUCGGUCCCUAUCUGCCGUGGGCGCUGGAGAACUGAGGGGGGCUGCUCCUAGUACGAGAGGACCGGAGUGGACGCAUCACUGGUGUUCGGGUUGUCAUGCCAAUGGCACUGCCCGGUAGCUAAAUGCGGAAGAGAUAAGUGCUGAAAGCAUCUAAGCACGAAACUUGCCCCGAGAUGAGUUCUCCCUGACCCUUUAAGGGUCCUGAAGGAACGUUGAAGACGACGACGUUGAUAGGCCGGGUGUGUAAGCGCAGCGAUGCGUUGAGCUAACCGGUACUAAUGAACCGUGAGGCUUAACC